ACGAAUAGAACAAAGCGACCUCGGCUGAUGCUGGCUCCUCGGAGCACGUGCACGCCCCGGCUCGCGCCUUCAAUUCGCUUCACCCCCUUGUGCACUCAAUGUAGGUCGUUGAUGUCGACGCCUAUGAAUUUUCGUCUUUGUACGCACCCCGAUUGCAUGUAUAAGCGCAGCUUUAUUUGAUAACACAAAAUA
Molecule: unclassified non-coding RNA, 192 nt
Filed under: uncultured Volvariella
Lineage: Eukaryota; Fungi; Basidiomycota; Agaricomycetes; Agaricales; Pluteaceae
Description: sequence contains ITS1
Source: RNAcentral